GAUGAACGCUGGCGGCGUGCUUAACACAUGCAAGUCGAACGAUGAAGCUCAGCUUGCUGGGUGGAUUAGUGGCGAACGGGUGAGUAACACGUGAGUAACCUGCCCUUAACUCUGGGAUAAGCCUGGGAAACUAGGUCUAAUACCGGAUAGGAGCGCCUACCGCAUGGUGGGUGUUGGAAAAAUUUAUCGGUUUUGGAUGGACUCGCGGCCUAUCAGCUUGUUGGUGAGGUAAUGGCUCACCAAGGCGACGACGGGUAGCCGGCCUGAGAGGGUGACCGGCCACACUGGGACUGAGACACGGCCCAGACUCCUACGGGAGGCAGCAGUGGGGAAUAUUGCACAAUGGGCGAAAGCCUGAUGCAGCGACGCCGCGUGAGGGAUGACGGCCUUCGGGUUGUAAACCUCUUUCAGUAGGGAAGAAGCGAAAGUGACGGUACCUGCAGAAGAAGCACCGGCUAACUACGUG
This 466-nucleotide ribosomal RNA is filed under the name uncultured bacterium. RNAcentral's name for it is "partial 16S ribosomal RNA". It matches the Rfam family "Bacterial small subunit ribosomal RNA", at positions 28 to 507 of the family's 1533-position model. The record is from RNAcentral.